CCAAUCGACACACUUAACCCUAGCAAUCGAAUCCGAUGUCGCAGAAGAACUUCAGGGAAAGGAUAAUCGAAAAGGCAGAAGGCGUGAACGAUGCCAAAAACGAAGACGAAGAAGAGUGGAGAAACAGAGAGAGCGGAAAUUAGGGGUCCCUGAGAUCCCAAAGCUGCAAAGCGGCGGCGCUGUGGCUGAACCGACUGCAAAGAGCGAAGCAGCUGACGGGGAGAAGGAGGAGCUGGUUCUGCAGGAUGCUUUCGUUCAAGAAAAUGCUGUCAUGGUUGGAGAUCCCAACAUGUAAUUAGUCCUCUCUUAAAAUCUCCUACUUGCGUUUUCCAGCUCGUCUUGUCUGUGUUGGGAGGCUUCUCUACCUUGGAUCAAAUAUUUCCAAAUAUCCUAAAUAUAAGUUAGAAAAUAUUGAGGAAAUGGAGGCAGCCAAAAGCUUCUUCAAGAGAGGAGGCUUGUUGGUUGGUCAAAAUUAGAUUUUAGCUUCCCUGCAAGUUAUAGCGCAGAUUUUUUCCAUCAUGGCAGGGACUACACAGAGAAACUUAGGAGAGUUUUGCAGUGUGUUCCCGCUAAUUUUGUUGACUAUGGAUGAGAAAUUUGCAGAUCACCCCAAGCUGUACAAGAACAAAGUUUCUCAAGAUAAUGGUGUAGGGCCUGAAACAUCUGAUAAUAACACAGAUUCGGCCAGCUGCAACAGAUGAGUUCAAGCGGAAGCAAGCUGGAGUGCUUCCGCAAACGAGAGCGACAUAGGGUAAUGCGCAGAUAGGUAACAUGUGCUUAUGCUCCAACUUCUGAUAUUGUGGUUAGUCAAUUUUGUGCUUUGUUCUACUAUCCAUAUUCUUUUCAUCUGCAGCUUUUGUAAUUAGCAGUGCAAAAUGUAUUUUCAGCAAUGUUUGUUACAAGUAAUCCCUUUGAUGUAAAAGGUAUACAUUCUAAUGUUUAAAAUUUAAAUUCUGAUUCUGCUCUUGCCACCAAUGAUUCUCAUUUGAUUUUACUUAUAUCUUGGUGUAAUAAAAGUUGAGAUUAAGAUUUUGUUUGAAAUCGCACAUAGUUCUUCUUGGAAAUCUGAAUAGUUUCCAGGAUUUUAUCUGUGCCAAUAGCAACAUACAACUAUCGUUUCUGCUUGAGCCUUCUCCUUAAUACUUUUCAAUGGGGAUGUGCGCCUCCAAUGUUAUUGGAUAACAUUCUUUCUCAAAUUGAUUUCAAAGACCAAGUAUCUCAAGGUACGCCAAUAGGCAAUAGCCUAAUUUGAUUUGCAUGGAAAAUAGUGCCAUUUUUAUUGAUGUAACUGCUUGGCGCUUGGCUUUGGCUCCUGGGAUAGAUCCUCGAGGUUUGGAUUGCCCCCCUCUCCCCAAACACCAUGGUAACUCGCAAGGUCUCAAUGUGCUGAGUAAAAUAUGGGUCUCCUUAAAAAUGUUGCCAAUUUAUGUUCAAAAUGGAUAGAUUUUCUCUGGGAUUUUUUUCCAAAUAGAUGUUGCUUGGGAUUGAUCGUUUGCAAGUUGAUCCAUUAUUUGAACUAUUGGGAUGUGGGAUGUUUGCUAGUUAGAUAACUAGCACAUAAUUCAAUUGAAUUAUGGCCUACAUUGGCCAAUUUGAAAAAUCUUUAGAGCUGGUUUCAAAAAUAUUUUUUUUUGGCUUGCACCGCAGUUGAGAUGAUAUUGUGAAAUUUGCUGGUAAACGAGUUAUAGAAGAUGGUGCAUUGCAUUAUUUCUUUAUUCAUCUCAGAUGACUCAGGAUCGUACGAUUGCAUGUGGAGGGGCAUAUCUACUAACUCAAAGAUGAGCCGUACAUGGUUGACCAAGUUUCGUUUGUGUGGAAAGUAGGGAAAGAACAACUUACCCAUUGUACCGGAGGCAUCACUUCCACCAUAAAAGGUUGCAUGGGCUUGUAGCCAAGCCGAUGAGACGGGACUAAGUUUGGCAGAAAGAAGCACC
This is a long non-coding RNA of Tripterygium wilfordii, 1934 nucleotides long. RefSeq lists it as uncharacterized. The record is from RefSeq and is a predicted model, not a curated record. NCBI's taxonomy places the organism in Eukaryota, Viridiplantae, Streptophyta, Magnoliopsida, Celastrales, Celastraceae. The transcript has 5 exons.